UAUAUGGUAUAUAUUUUGUUGUAUAUAUCUUGACAAUCAAGGAUCAUCAUCAUCAUCAUCAUCAGCGGAAUGAACCCGAAAAACUAAAGAAAACACGACGGUAUUUAUGUGUGUGUUGAUUACCUGAUCGUCAUCGUUAUCGUUGUUGUCGUCGUCGUCAAGAUCAACGAAAUAACCCGAAAUUGCAGAAAAAUAACCGACUCGUCAAUAUUAUCGUGUCAUUCUUGUAUUUGUAUAUAAUUUUUUUUUAGUCCAUAUGUGUUGUUGUAUGUUUUUAUUUGUUUGUUUUUGUCUAUAAAAAGAAAAAUGUAAAGAUUACAAAUUAUUGAAAAAAAAAGAAGAAUAAACGUGCAAUCUUUAAAAAUCUUUCGACAUUGUUUGGUGCAAUUUUUUGUUUGUUUGUUUUGUUUCACAUCAAUAAAUUAUGUAAAAAAUGAUGCCUUAAAAUUUUCAUCAUUCGAUCGGUAUAAACAAUCAAAAUUCUUGUCAUAAUCAUCAUCAUCAACAA
Molecule: long non-coding RNA, 508 nt
Organism: Dermatophagoides pteronyssinus (European house dust mite)
Lineage: Eukaryota; Metazoa; Arthropoda; Arachnida; Sarcoptiformes; Pyroglyphidae
Source: RefSeq, a predicted model, not a curated record